Molecule: ribosomal RNA, 243 nt
Filed under: uncultured Eubacteriales bacterium
Lineage: Bacteria; Bacillati; Bacillota; Clostridia; Eubacteriales
Description: uncultured Clostridiales bacterium partial 16S ribosomal RNA
Rfam family: Bacterial small subunit ribosomal RNA
Source: RNAcentral
CACGCCGUAAACGAUGGGUACUAGGUGUCGGGUGUCAAAGCUCGGUGCCGCAGUUAACACAAUAAGUACCCCGCCUGGGGAGUACGUACGCAAGUAUGAAACUCAAAGGAAUUGACGGGGACCCGCACAAGCGGUGGAGCAUGUGGUUUAAUUCGACGCUACGCGAAGAACCUUACCAAGGCUUGACAUCCUUUGAUCGUCUAAGAGAUUAGAUUUUCCCUUCGGGGACAAAGUGACAGGUGG